UACGUGGGGUGCAAGCGUUAUCCGGAUUUAUUGGGCGUAAAGAGUUCGUAGGCUUUUUGCCAAGUUUCGUUUGAAAGCCCGAGGCUCAACCUCGGACCCGGACGAAAAACUGGCAGAAUCGAGUCAUCUAGGGGACACUGGAACUCAUAGUGUAGCAGUGAAAUGCGUUGAUAUUAUGAGGAACACCAAGGGCGAAGGCAGGUGUCUGGGGGUUGACUGACGCUGAGGAACGAAAGCUAGGGGAGCGAAAGGG
RNAcentral lists this ribosomal RNA (253 nucleotides) under uncultured bacterium. Its description in RNAcentral is "partial 16S ribosomal RNA". It matches the Rfam family "Bacterial small subunit ribosomal RNA", at positions 524 to 776 of the family's 1533-position model. The record is from RNAcentral.